This 300-nucleotide ribosomal RNA is filed under the name uncultured Pyrobaculum sp. Its description in RNAcentral is "partial 16S ribosomal RNA". The stretch from base 67 to 300 matches the Rfam family "Bacterial small subunit ribosomal RNA", at positions 562 to 795 of the family's 1533-position model. The record is from RNAcentral. Lineage: Archaea; Thermoproteati; Thermoproteota; Thermoprotei; Thermoproteales; Thermoproteaceae.
GAUAGAGAGGUGGCAGCGGCAGGGUAAAUAGGGGGGGGGGAGGGUGUAAGCGGGAUUGAGUGUGGGAAGGGGGGCGGAGGGGGUUUGUGAAGACCGCAGGGAAAGCGCCGGGCGGAACCUGGGAAAUGCAUUUGUGACUGGCAGGUGAGAGGAUGGCAGAGGGGGGGAGAAUUCCACGUGGAGCAGUGAAAUGCGUAGAGAUGUGGAGGAAGACCGAUGGCGAAGGCAGCCCCCUGGGCCAAUACUGACGCUCAUGCACGAAAGCGUGGGGAGCAAACAGGAUUAGAUUCCCUGGUAGUC